GGGAAACUUUGGCUAAUACCGCAUGAAGACUCUAAGGCAUCUUAGAGGGAUAAAAGUUGGGAAACAACGCAUGAAGAUGGGCUUAUGGCGCAUUAGCUAGUUGGUGAGAUAGAAGCCCACCAAGGUAAUGAUGCGUAGCCGACCUGAGAGGGUGAACGGCCACAUUGGGACUGAGACACGGCCCAAACUCCUACGGGAGGCAGCAGUAGGGAAUUUUCGGCAAUGGGGGGAACCCCGACCCAGCGACGCCGCGUGAGGGAAGAAGGCCUUUGGGUCGUAAACCUCUGUUGUAUGGGAAGAAGGAAGUGACGGUACCAUACGAGGAAGUCCCGGCUAACUACGUGCCAGCAGCCGCGGUAAUACGUAGGGGACGAGCGUUGUCCGGAAUUACUGGGCGUAAAGGGCGCGCAGGCGGAUAUUUAAGUCAGCUGUUAAAGUCAUGGGCUCAACUCAUGGAUGCGGUUGAAACUGGGUAUCUAGAGUGCUGGAGAGGUAGGCGGAAUUCCCGGUGUAGCGGUGAAAUGCGUAGAUAUCGGGAAGAACACCAGUGGCGAAGGCGGCUUACUGGCCAGCAACUGACGCUGAGGCGCGAAAGCCAGGGGAGCGAACGGGAUUAGAUACCCCGGUAGUCCUGGCCGUAAACGAUGAAUGCUAGGUAUGGGUGUCGAGAGGCAUCCGUGCCGGAGUUAACGCGAUAAGCAUUCCGCCUGGGGAGUACGGUCGCAAGAUUGAAACUCAAAGGAAUUGACGGGGGCCCGCACAAGCGGUGGAGCACGUGGUUUAAUUCGAUGCAAACCGAAGAA
RNAcentral lists this ribosomal RNA (803 nucleotides) under uncultured bacterium. Its description in RNAcentral is "bacterial SSU rRNA". It matches the Rfam family "Bacterial small subunit ribosomal RNA", at positions 151 to 968 of the family's 1533-position model. The record is from RNAcentral.